This 790-nucleotide long non-coding RNA is filed under the name Setaria viridis. Its description in RNAcentral is "long non-coding RNA (SVIR_LNC008574)". Lineage: Eukaryota; Viridiplantae; Streptophyta; Magnoliopsida; Poales; Poaceae. The record is from RNAcentral.
UUAACCUUUCGUGUUUGUGCCUGUGCCACUUUAGGCAGGAAAAAGGAGAAAAAGGGUAUGUGCCAUUGUCCUGUCUGACACAUAUUAUUCUUUGUUUUUUUCUUAAACUGCUGGCAGGAGCUGUGCGCAUCCCAAACCCAACUGGAUCACAAAUCGUUUCAGCUUUGGUGCACAAGAACAUAGAGAUGCAAGUGAAGAGUUGGUAUUCUUUUGGCUGUCCUGGUUAUCCAGAUGAGAUUCUUCAGAGAACAAACUUUUAGACUUGUGGUCUGGGCUGCGGUGGAACCUGGGCCAUCCAACUGUGAAUGAACGGCAAACCUCCCGUUUCCCUGAAAAAGCAGAGGCCGCGGUCGGCCUUCGGUCUUCCUCUUCUCCGGUUCUCCCCGAAGCCCGUCUGCCUUUUCAGUUCGCGAUCGAGGAAAGAGUCUCGCGGGGGUCAAGGAGCUAGGGGUCGAGGAUCAUCGGAAGAGCAGCGGGGAGGAGGGGAAGAUGAUCGAGGUGGUGCUGAACGACCGCCUGGGGAAGAAGGUGCGGGUCAAGUGCAACGAGGACGACACCAUCGGCGACCUCAAGAAGCUGGUGGCGGCGCAGACGGGGACGCGCCCCGAGAAGAUCCGCAUCCAGAAGUGGUACAACAUCUACAAGGACCACAUCACCCUCAAGGACUACGAGAUCCACGACGGCAUGGGCCUCGAGCUCUACUACAACUAGCUGCCCUGACUCCACAUGUCCCUCUUAUCAGGUAAGAAUCCCUCCCCGGAUUCGGAGCUGUUCCUCUUCGUUCCUGCGC